This 912-nucleotide non-coding RNA is filed under the name Bemisia tabaci. The record is from RNAcentral. Lineage: Eukaryota; Metazoa; Arthropoda; Insecta; Hemiptera; Aleyrodidae.
CAGUUAGUUUAAUUUAAUAAAUUAUAUAUUUUAUACUAUGUUAAUUAUUUAACUUAAUGUCAUUAAAAUUUAAAUUAAAGCUAUUUAAAUAAUUAUUAAUAAGACCAACUUUUAUUUAGAUAAUUAAUAGUUUACAAAUUAUACAUUUAAUAAAGUAAAAAAAAAUAUUAAAUCUAAAUUUUAUUUUAGUUUAAAAGUUAGAAACUACAUUAAAUGUAUAUAAAUUUAAAAUUUAACAAAUCUAAAAAUUUAACAUUUAAAAUUUAAAACAUAGAGCAAUCUAUUAAAAGAAUCUGUUUUAAUUCUAACCAAUUAGGUGCCAGCAGUUGCGGUUAAUCCUAAGGUUAACUAACUAAGAGUUUAAAUAUAUUAUAUUGUGUAUAUAAGAGAAAUUAAUAAGCCAAAUUAUAAGUAAGUGAAAUUUUUAAAAUUUAUAAAAUCUUACCAAUAAAAAUUAAAGUUUCUGUUAAAAACUAGGAUUAGAUACCCUACUAUUUAGAAUAACUAAAAUUAAAGUAGUAAAAGAAGAUCUUCAAACUUAAAAAAUUUGGCGGUAGUUUAACCCAACUAGAGGAAUCUGCUCUAUAAUUGACAAUCCACAAUCUGUUAUAUUUUAUAUGGAUAUAUUUAUAUAUCGCUGUUAAACAUAAAUUAAAAAAUAGUAUUUAAAACUUGUUUAAACUCAUAAAAUCAAGUCAACACAUAAUUUUUAAAAAUGAAGUGGAUUACAUUUAAGUUAGAUUAAUAGAUUAAUUCUGUAAACAGAAUUUUUAAAAAGGAUUUAGAAGUAAAUUAAGAUAAAGUUUUUUAAUUAAAUCUGAUAUAAACUAUGUACAAAUCGCCCGUCACUCUUAUAUAAAUUAAGACAAGUCGUAACAAAGUAAGAUUACUGGAAAGUAAUAUUAGAUAAAU